This is a non-coding RNA of Malus domestica (apple), 1098 nucleotides long. The record is from RefSeq and is a predicted model, not a curated record. Lineage: Eukaryota; Viridiplantae; Streptophyta; Magnoliopsida; Rosales; Rosaceae.
UGAUCCACAAUACAUCCCACCCUAUAAAGCGCAUCCUCAAACAGAUUACCUAAACCACUGUCUGAAAAUUUUCAAUUCUUUCUCUCCAUUUCCGAUUUGGAUAAUUGAGUCAAAAGGGUCUCAGAUUCUCAGUGAUUUAGGGUUGAGAUAUGGAGACUGGUGGUAAGUUGAAGAAAGGUGCCGGGGGAAGGAAGGGCGGUGGUCCGAAGAAGAAGGCGGUGACCCGGUCCGUCAGAGCCGGCCUCCAGUUCCCAGUCGGAAGAAUCGGUCGCUACUUGAAGAAGGGGAGGUAUGCUCAGAGAGUCGGGUCUGGAGCUCCGGUUUACUUAGCCGCUGUGCUCGAGUACCUCGCAGCUGAAGUGCUGGAAUUGGCUGGAAAUGCAGCUCGGGACAACAAGAAGAACAGGAUUAUCCCAAGGCAUCUGCUACUUGCUGUGAGGAACGAUGAGGAGCUUGGAAAAUUGCUUGCUGGUGUGACCAUUGCUCACGGCGGCGUGCUUCCAAACAUUAACCCAGUCCUCCUGCCCAAGAAAUCAGAAAAGGCCGCCGGAAAAGAGCCAAAAUCGCCAUCGAAGGCUACCAAUUGUCUGUAAUAUGCAGGACUUUCCUGGGAUACAAACGAACCUGUUCUUAAGGAAGCUUUUGGAAAACAUGGUGAAAUAAUUGAAGUUAAAGUUAUAUGUGAUCACGUGAGUGGGAAAUCGAGAGGUUAUGGAUUUGUGAAGUUUACUUCUGAAAGUGAAGCCACCACUGCUCUCAAGGAGAUGGAUGGUCAGGUUCUGGAUGGCAGACAAAUCCGGUUGCAAUUUGCACACAAGGAAUAGUGACAUUGAUUUCAGUGUAUAGCGUCUCCCAUCUGCCAGUAUGUCAAAUGUUUAAGUGGUAAUGUCAUGUCUUGGUGCUUUAUUGAGCUGGUACAGUGGACUGGAGGGGGCAUGAUGUUGUUGGUGGUGGUAACCAGCAAGUCCAAGUUUGAGUCGCUCACAAAUUUUUGUCUUCAAAUGAUAAUUCUGUAAGUUCGUAUUAUAAUUUUUUUGGAGUUCCUCUUGUUAUCAAUUCCGUAAAUGAAAUCAAUAUAUUUGAAGAGACUUCAUCAAA